RNAcentral lists this long non-coding RNA (216 nucleotides) under Lathyrus oleraceus (garden pea). RNAcentral describes it as "Pisum sativum (pea) long non-coding RNA (PSAT_LNC007227)". Lineage: Eukaryota; Viridiplantae; Streptophyta; Magnoliopsida; Fabales; Fabaceae. The record is from RNAcentral.
AGAAGUAAAAAACUGCAAACUAAGAAGAAUAUUACCAGUUAUAGGGCAAUAAACUCUUAGGAGACUCGAAGCAUCUAUCUAGGUAAGAGCUAGAAAGAAACAAUCAAUCAAGACUCAAUCCAAUGAGGAUAUAACUCAAGGGGAAUGAUUCCAUCCAGAUAAACAACUGGAAAGGAAACUAAAAUAAUAAUCAUCCACGAGGAAACAAACUCAGUG